Molecule: ribosomal RNA, 384 nt
Filed under: uncultured bacterium
Lineage: Bacteria
Description: bacterial SSU rRNA
Rfam family: Bacterial small subunit ribosomal RNA
Source: RNAcentral
AUUGAACGCUGGCGGCAUGCCUUACACAUGCAAGUCGAACGGCAGCACGGGAGCAAUCCUGGUGGCGAGUGGCGAACGGGUGAGUAAUAUAUCGGAACGUGCCCAGUCGUGGGGAUAACGUAGCGAAAGCUACGCUAAUACCGCAUACGAUCUAUGGAUGAGAGCGGGGGAUCGCAAGACCUCGCGCGAUUGGAGCGGCCGAUAUCAGAUUAGGUAGUUGGUGAGGUAAAGGCUCACCAAGCCGACGAUCUGUAGCUGGUCUGAGAGGACGACCAGCCACACUGGGACUGAGACACGGCCCAGACUCCUACGGGAGGCAGCAGUGGGGAAUUUUUGGACAAUGGGCGGCAAGCCUGAUCAGCAAUGCCGCGUGCAGGAUGAAGG